RNAcentral lists this ribosomal RNA (253 nucleotides) under uncultured bacterium. RNAcentral's name for it is "partial 16S ribosomal RNA". It matches the Rfam family "Archaeal small subunit ribosomal RNA", at positions 474 to 727 of the family's 1478-position model. The record is from RNAcentral.
UACCAGCACCCCGAGUGGUCGGGACGAUUAUUGGGCCUAAAGCAUCCGUAGCCGGUUUUACAAGUCCCCCGUUAAAUCCAGCUGCUUAACAGAUGGGCUGCGGAGGAUACUAUAAGACUAGGAGGCAGGAGAGGCAAGCGGUACUCAGUGGGUAGGGGUAAAAUCCGUUGAUCCAUUGAAGACCACCAGUGGCGAAGGCGGCUUGCCAGAAUGCGCUCGACGGUGAGGGAUGAAAGCUGGGGGAGCGAUCCGG